CCUACGGGAGGCAGCAGUGAGGAAUAUUGGUCAAUGGACGCAAGUCUGAACCAGCCAUGCCGCGUGCAGGAAGACGGCUCUAUGAGUUGUAAACUGCUUUUGUACGAGGGUAAACGCAGAUACGCGUAUCUGUCUGAAAGUAUCGUACGAAUAAGGAUCGGCUAACUCCGUGCCAGCAGCCGCGGUAAUACGGAGGAUUCAAGCGUUAUCCGGAUUUAAUGGGUUUAAAGGGUGCGUAGGCGGUCGGAGAAGUUAGAGGUGAAAUCCCGAGGCCCAACUUCGGAACUGCCUCUGAUACUGUUCGGCUAGAGAGUAGUUGCGGUAGGCGGAAUGUAUGGUGUAGCGGUGAAAUGCUUAGAGAUCAUACAGAACACCGAUUGCGAAGGCAGCUUACCAAGCUACUUCUGACGUUGAGGCACGAAAGCGUGGGGAGCAAACAGGAUUAGAUACCCUAGUAGUC
This 460-nucleotide ribosomal RNA is filed under the name uncultured bacterium. Its description in RNAcentral is "partial 16S ribosomal RNA". It matches the Rfam family "Bacterial small subunit ribosomal RNA", at positions 338 to 795 of the family's 1533-position model. The record is from RNAcentral.